CUCUUGUCAAUCCGCCUGUGAUUUAUGUCAGCUUUUGUUGCUGAUUACAAGGCGGGUGCGACUUGAAGGGGAAAAAGGGAGAGGGAGAGAGAGAUGGAAAGAGAGUAAGGAAGAGACCAAGGGGGAACCAGCGGAGGGGGAAAGAGGAGCAGCCUCCUGGGAUGGGGUGGGGGUGGCUCUAAGAAAAAGAAUGAAGGAGAGGAAAAGAGGCUCUCUGUGUCAGGAAAAUGAAUAGUGAGGGUAAAGUGCGCAGGUGCGCCCAGGGCGCUGAGAGGGUUGCACAGGCCUGGGGUGUGCGCUUUGCCCCCCUCGGCGUGGAAGAAAGAUACACCUUUCUACCUCUGGGACUUCAGUCUGUUGGGGCCGCGGAGGGAGGAGCUGCCCCGGGUACCCGAGACGGGCGGCGGCGACGUCUAAGAUGGGAGAUAUUUUUGUCCCCCGGAUAGUCCCUCGGGAGCGUGAGGAUGUCAGGCUGCCAGCCUGCCGCGGAGUCCACCCUUCGUAGUGCCCCGACCCGAAACUCAGACUUAUUUCUAAGAGCCACACCACCAAUGUAACUUUGAGUCCUGGAGGUCAAUGGUGGGCUACCUCCUCCCGGUCUUAAUUCUUUGACUUCCCUUCGAUCGUAGCUGGGGCUGAGAGGCUUCGAGGAGGCCUGGCCUUGGGUGUCCGGUGGAGAUACGUCUCAAACUGACUCAGGCCCUCUCCCCAGUCCUCUCCCACCCUGCGGUAUCCCCGCAGGUUUGGUAGCCGGGAUUUCUCUGGGCUGGCUACUCGCUCGAAUUUACAGGAACGCCGAGCUGGGACUGACCUGCGUUGGGAAAGCAGAGGGAAAGAACGGAGAGAGGGAGGGGUCGGUUGCUUGUAGGAACUUGGGUCUUCCAGGGAAGCGGAGCGGGACUGCCGCGUUCCCCUCGAUUUGCACCGUCACUCGGGCGGUUUGGAAGGAAGAGGGGAGGCGCUGUGCGUGCCUCUGUGUACCUGGAGCUGGGUGCACAAGUGUGUUGGUAAACUUCAUGGGAUUGUCACUUGACUAAAGAUAAUUUGGAGAAGA
Molecule: long non-coding RNA, 1054 nt
Organism: Leopardus geoffroyi (Geoffroy's cat)
Lineage: Eukaryota; Metazoa; Chordata; Mammalia; Carnivora; Felidae
Exons: 2
Source: RefSeq, a predicted model, not a curated record